This 253-nucleotide ribosomal RNA is filed under the name uncultured bacterium. RNAcentral describes it as "partial 16S ribosomal RNA". It matches the Rfam family "Bacterial small subunit ribosomal RNA", at positions 524 to 776 of the family's 1533-position model. The record is from RNAcentral.
UACGAAGGGGGCUAGCGUUGUUCGGAAUUACUGGGUGUAAAGGGUUCGUAGGCGGUGUGGCAAGUCGGGAGUGAAAUCUCUGGGCUUAACUCAUAGGCUGCUUCCGAAACUGCUGUGCUUGAGUGUGGGAGAGGCGCGUGGAAUUGCAGGUGUAGCGGUGAAAUGCGUAGAUAUCUGCAGGAACACCCGUGGCGAAAGCGGCGCACUGGAUCACAACUGACGCUGAGGGACGAAAGCUAGGGGAGCAAACAGG